UGUAGGUUUAAAAAAAGUCAACGAACCUUCUUCUUCUUCUUCUUUUUUUUUUUUUUAAGAGGAGAAAAGGAGUGGGUAGGGAGAGCAAGAGAAUCUUAAGCAGGCUCCAUGCCCAGUGCAGAGCCUAAAGCAGGGGCUUCACCUCGGUCUCAGUCUCUCAAUCCUGAGAUCGUGGCUGGAGCCAAAAUCAAGAGUUGGACACUUAACUGACUAAGCAGCCCAGGUGCCCCAAAAGUUAAACAACCUUAAAGGCAGAAACAUUUGCAGUCUUGUUAGCUAUUUCAAUUCAUUCAAACCUUAUCUUACUGGGCUUCAGUUUAUUAGGUGAAAAUGGCAAGCAAUGAUUAUUACUACAUUGUAGAGGUAGAAAUAUUAAAUAAUUUAAAGGAUCUGAUUGUAUCACCAUUAGUAGGUAUCUUAAAUGAAUUACUUCCCUGAUUAUAUUUUCAUAUCUCACAUAGUCUUUGUCUAAAAAGGGAAUUUAGAAGUAGUCAGUAGUGAAGUGGCAAGUAUCAUGGGCCUUGGGUAGGAAGGCAGAGCACAGUACCAACGAGCACCAUGGUAUUAAGAUUUUGAGCACUAAAAAUGACUUUCAGGAAAGCAGAUGUGAUCUCAGGACUUCAGUGAAGAUAAACCACCUUCUCAGGAAGCAGAGAAUUGUACCUUAAUUUUAAUUUUUCAGCAGUAUUGUCAUCCAUUUAAUAUGGAUUUUAAAAGACACAAUGAAACCCUAAUAAUAAGGUCCUCAUUUUCCUGGGUGAGAAUCUUUGGAUGAAACUGGAUAUGCAUUGUUAUCUGUUUUACUUUGUCCAAAAGUGGUCCGCAUUGUAUAUUGCUUCGCAGUCUGUUAAAAUAAUCUUCUAAUAAACACGAAGACCCAAAUUCCUGGUGCAGAUAAGAAAACUACGCACAUUCCUACCUUCUCCAAACAGCCAGGAUUAGAUCAAAAGGCAACCUUAUGACACUUGGAGCACAAACCCUCUGGGCGCGCACAGAUGGGUCAACCGACAAGUCACAACGUCUGGGAAGCGAGAGAGAAGCGAAAUUCCCGCACUUACAUCAAGCGAAUUCUUAGCAGAACCUUAAACAUUCACCCAGGGGAACUGAGAGUGGCGGGCGGGGAGGACAUCGGUCCUGUAACGAUCCCCGACGAUCAGUCGUCUGUUACGUGCGCUCAGAACAGCCAACAAAGAGCCUCCGUUGCGCUUGUCCUCCAGUCCCACGUCGCCCGGGACUGUACGGCAAAAGGACACCGCGGAGGGUAUGGGGGGCGGGGGCUCGCUCCGCGCUGGGGGCGGGUCCGGGCGGCCGCUCCCUCCGCCCCUGGAGUAGCUGCCACCUCCUGGCAGCGCCCCAGCUCAGCAGCUCAGACGCGGCCGCAUCCCCUGGACUGUAGAGGCGGCAGCGAGCCCGAGCCAGCAUCGCUGCUCUCGGCCACAGCGAGGCUGGGAGAGCCCGAGCGCGAGGACACCUGGCCCAGGCGCGGCGGGAAGCUCUGCGCGCCGCUGGGAUCACAGUAUACUGAAAAGUACUCAAUCAAGAGAAAUCUGGGGGAAGCUGGGAACCAUCAAGUUAUUGAGGCCACACAGGGAGCAGAAGAAGGACAGACGUAGGAAAGAAAGUUUAUCAGAGUUUCUUCCUAAACCUCUUAGAGAUAACAGCAUAUUUUAAUCAGAGACCUGUAAGUAUCCUUUUCUUCUUUAUUUAGAAAAUUAGAUAUUGAUUUUGUGGAAGAAUUGGCUCCUUCAAGAAUACUCUUGACAGGAUAUGGCUAAACAAUCUGAGUUGGCAUGCAAAAUUUGAGUGAGAGUAAAACACACAGAAAAUCACCUCUCAAAACCCAAAACAAAGAAAUCAAAACUGCUGUUAGAAAACCAUCAAAUCUAUCUAUAGCUUGUGAACGUUUGACUUAUUUUUUGGCAAUUUCUCUGUCUUGAUGUCACUGUCAUUACUUUUUUCCCCUUUGUGAAAAUAUCUGUGUGUGUGCAUAUUUUAGGAAGUCUGUAACAUCAAUGAGAAGGAAGAGGAAAAGGGUAGGGUGUGAACACAGGAAAGGGAAGAAUUUGUAUUCUGUAAAAAGUUACAUGGCUUUGGGGCACCUGGGUGGCUCAGUCAUUAAGUGGCUGCCUUUGGUUCAGGUCACAAUCCCAGAGUCCUGGGAUGGAGGCCCAUAUUGAGCUCCCUGCUCGGCGGGAAGCCUGCUUCUCCCUCUCCCACUCCUCCUGCUUGUGUUCCCUCUCUUGCUGUGUGUGUAUGUCUCUCUCUCUCUGUCAAAAAAAAAAAAAAAAAAAAAAAAAGAAAAAGUUACAUGGCUUUGGACGACUGUAUUUUCCAGUCACACUUUCAGGGAAAUUUUGUACAAAAUCAGACCUACGUCUCCUAAUAGCUAAGGUUCAGUCACUUUCAUCAUAUUUUUGAAGUGUCUGUUACUCUGCUAGAUGCAAAACUGGCCAACUCAGGAACAGGGAACUGGGGACACCCUUCCUGCUUCAAUUUAACAAGAGGCCAAGACAAGCAUAUCUUUUCACAAGCAGGUAUUUUAUCAGAUAAACUGAGAAGACUCAAUGAGAAGAAGAAGAAAAAUCUUUGUCUUAAAAGCAUAUCUGUAGCAACAGCAUUUAAUAUUUUGUUCCCUGAAAGACAUUUGACAUCUCAUGUAGUCCUCUUCUAGCACUAAGACAAAUAAUCGUCAUACUGAGCUGAAGAGCACAGAGUCUAGGGCCCGUUUAGUAAACAGACAAUGAAGCAGUCAGUAGCUAAAGUCUGGAGCUGAGAGGUUCUUCACUGGUGGUAAGAGAUUAGCAUACUUCUGGGCUUCUCAACUGUAAAUAUUUGUGUUGACUAGAGUUGAUAACUACCUUAGAUUAUUUUAUGAUUCUAGGACAUCCUUGAAAUUUUGUUGCUUAGUAGUUAAUAGUCAUUUUAUCUUGGGUAAUCUAUGCUUAUUAUACUGAUUUUAACAUGUGUGUAGUAGCUAAUAAAACCAGCCAGCAGGAACAGAGAG
This 3004-nucleotide long non-coding RNA is filed under the name Mustela putorius furo (domestic ferret). Its description in RNAcentral is "lncRNA (ENSMPUG00000024263.1)". Lineage: Eukaryota; Metazoa; Chordata; Mammalia; Carnivora; Mustelidae. The record is from RNAcentral.